Molecule: ribosomal RNA, 253 nt
Filed under: uncultured bacterium
Lineage: Bacteria
Description: partial 16S ribosomal RNA
Rfam family: Bacterial small subunit ribosomal RNA
Source: RNAcentral
UACGAAGGGGGCUAGCGUUGCUCGGAAUCACUGGGCGUAAAGCGCACGUAGGCGGGUCUUUAAGUCGGAGGUGAAAUCCUGGAGCUCAACUCCAGAACUGCCUUCGAUACUGAGGAUCUCGAGUCCGGGAGAGGUGAGUGGAACUGCGAGUGUAGAGGUGAAAUUCGUAGAUAUUCGCAAGAACACCAGUGGCGAAGGCGGCUCACUGGCCCGGUACUGACGCUGAGGUGCGAAAGCGUGGGGAGCGAACAGG